AGUAGAGAGCAGGAAUAAAAACUGUGGGACCCUGGAGUCAUGCAUCAGGUAGAGACAUACUCAAGAGGCUAUAAUUGAGAGAUGGAGAAACACAUUACGUAUGCAGUAUAAGAAGAGUUCAGGAUAUGCUACUGUAGUGGAAACCCAAUCUCUUGCUGCAUGAGACGAGAGGGGGAAAUUAUUUCCUAAGCUGGCGAGUGGACAGACACCUUGCUUGACAUGAACCAAGUCUCAGAGAAAGUCCUAAGGCUAAGAGUGAGGCCAAUGAGAAGUGAGUCUACAAGGUAUGUACUCAGACUGUGCCGGUGUUAGAAGUAAGCAGCAGACAGCUUUUACUAAGUGGAGGUCCUUGGAGAUAGGGGUGUAACAUGUAGUCAUAGGUGAGAGAAGGCCUUCUCUCUUUCACUUUCUCAGAAGGAUGUGGGCUCUGAUUGAGAGGGUUGUCAGAGAGAACUGCACCCCCUCUAGUCAGGAAACCAUGCAACAAGGUUUGAUUGCUUUAAAUAGCUUUAUUAUUAUAGAUAAGGAGGCAAACACAUUCUCAUUUAUAGGUGCAUUAGUGGUUAUAAAAUGCCUUUCUAUACCUUCCUCAUAAAAUGAUUGAACACUUCUGACUCAAAAUAGUGAGAAAAUGCCUUGCUUUUCUGUGUUAUUAUCAUGAUUCUCCCCAGACCCCUCUCAGACAGGGAGAAGCUGGACUUUAGUUUCAGUAACAAGAUAAAGACAGCUUGUUUCUUUAAGAGUACAAUUAAUACAUGUUAUUAAUCAUCACACAGAAAAGUAAGGGAAAAAAGUAUAACUCCAUAGUGUGGUGAAUUAGUGACUUUGGAAUGCCUGACCCUGAACAGGACUUCUAGAUCAUGACCUCACAAGGCUCAGAGAACACUGCAAAUGAAGAGCAUAAAUGAUAUAGGAGACAGGUUAAAGAGGCGUGCUGUGAAACAAUCUUCUGGACAAAACAAGGCUGAUACGUUCGUGAACUUACCACAGUUGUGGUUACCUACAUGAGACUUAUACAGGAUUGGACCUGUCACCAUUUCAAGAUGUAUGGAAAUUGACUGACUCCUCUCAGUUCAUGGGGCUUAGCCAUCCCAGGACCUAUACUCUGUCUCCUCUUCCCUCAAGUCUGCUUUGAAAGGAACUUAGGGAAACUCAGAAAAACCUGCUGUGUUUGUCUCACGCUUGAGUUCUGAUUUUCCCAUUAAAAUGGUUGUUACCAACAACCCAUUUCUUUUCUUUCUUUUUUUUUUUAACUAUUAUUUUGGCUUCCAGAAAAUAUCCUUCAUAAACAAUUCCCAACCUAUCUGUGAUUUUGGAAAAAACAGCAGAACAACUGACACGUGAGUUUGGACAAUUUCAAAGCAAACAGAACCUUGAAAGAUAAAAUUCACAAGGAACUUCCUAAGCCUCAUACAGGUCAAAAUGGAGCUUGCAGAGUUGAGCUGUGAUUCUACUGUCUCCUUCCCCUCUCUUCAGAGUCCUUCGAGGAGAUAAGGCACAGAAGAUAAGGAUCCACACCUCCUAGUGGUUGAUGCUCCAUGGCAGAAGACUCCCUUCCAUGGCAACUAUCAAUUUCAAAAUGUAGUGCAGCUAUGUUUCAUUCCUGGGCUCUAGUGAGCCUUCUGCCUCAGCAUUCCUAACAGCUGACUUUAUGGGGAUGUACCAUCCAGCCCAACUUUAUGCCUUGUUCUAAUUAGAAAAGUCUCCAUAAAGAUUCAAGCAUUUCUACCAUUUCAACUCAAAGUGAACACCAUGAGGCUCAGUAAUCUUCAGCAAUAAAACAGAAGGUGGAAGCCUUCACAAGGU
This 1806-nucleotide small RNA is filed under the name Rattus norvegicus (Norway rat). RNAcentral's name for it is "uncharacterized LOC108350585". Lineage: Eukaryota; Metazoa; Chordata; Mammalia; Rodentia; Muridae. The record is from RNAcentral.